CACACACACACACACACACACACACACACACACACACACACUAAACUACCAUCUUUUUCAGAACAGUCUACAAUAUUAUAAUUUUUAUAGCUUCAACAAUGUAGUUGCAAUACAAAAAGCAGAGAAUUAAAUUAUCAGCUUUUUUAGAAAUAGUUUGAAUUCUAAAAAAAAAAAGGCUGUCAUUUUGAGAAUGAAGUUAAAGUCAAGAGACAGAAUUUUAAGAACAAAGUCAGAAUUCAGAUGUAAAGAUCAAGGAAGAAAGUCAAGAACUGCUGCUUCACCUUACUUUUCACCAAAAUGUUAAGGUUUAUGUUCCAAUUGAAUUUUGAGAAUUGUACUUUAAUCAGAAUUUUGAAUGUUAUAUAAAAACAUUACUAACUUUAUUAGCAGAAUUAUGAUUUAAAGCUAAAUAACUGCAUGUUUUUCCUCAAAAUCAUGACCUUUUUUCACAAUUUUAUUCCAAAUAGUGACAUCAAGUUUGGGACUGAAAUUAUUGUCUCACAUUUUUCUAAUUCUUUCUAAUCCUCUUCUAAAGCAGUAACAGAUCCAUAUCACUGAUCAAUAAAAUUACUCUCUUUUAGAGAGAUACAGUAUACAAAACAUUUCAAGAGUGAGGCUGUAAUUUUGUGGCCUUGUCACACAUCUGUAAGAAAUGUAAACCAACUGGGGCUUGUAAAUCUGUGUUAAAAUAAUUGAUCAACAAUAACAUUUUAUUCUAUGAUUAAUCAUACAAGUGGUUCCCAAUGUGGGUUCAGGACCCUUUUGUUGGAACACUAGAUGAUUAAAGGAGUAAGAAAAAUAUACACAACCUGCUACAAAAAAUAUUCUGACUUUUCUCAAAUUUUUGCUUUCUUCUUGUGAAACAGAUUCUUUCACCUCUUCAUUUCUCUAAAAACCCUUCAAAUCAAACAGAGAAUGGAAAAAAAAAUCACCUUUUGGUUGAACUGCUCACAACUCAUGUCUACACUAAGACCUGUGAGUAGACGUCACAAAUUGACAUUCCUUCUUUUUUUAUGUGGUUACGAGCUGAGAAAGUUGUGAACCGCUGGCCUGUAACUUAACUGUGGGGCCCAAAUGCUUAGUUUGUUGUAAUUUAAUUAAGUGAAAAUGUGUUUGUUAACACUGUAUGCACCCCUAAAUAACCUAAUAAACUGAAAAGAGGAAGGCCAUAAGGAGACGCCUACAUUAUUACCUGAUCUUGUAGAGGGCUCCCUCGUUAAAAAGCCAUCAUUAUUUCAGUAUAUAUUAUGCCUUACAUGUUGUAUUUGUGUGCCUAAUCAACACACCACAAACUAAUUACUCAUGGAUGCACAAGAGUGGCAGAAAUAUGGAGAAGGGUCCCGUUGUGGCCUGUAUACCAGGGUGUAAUUCCCCCUCCGACCACAAUAUAAAUUGCAAUGGCAGAUUGGCGCUGUCCGUAUUUCCGCUCGUUGAUUCCUCGGGAAUUGAAGACUGCAGAAGCAGAGAUUCAAAUUAUGACUUCGCUGAAAACUUUAGCCAAAAUAUGAGAUAUUCGUGUCUUUUUAUGUUUGUGGUGAAUAAAAGUCGCAAGACUUUUCUUUCCUCGAGCCGAUAUUCAUCUGCUGACCUUCAAUAAGUUUGUUCCUGACAUUUAUUCAGCUGUUUCAGCUGUGGAGCCGGAUGAAAGGUAAAAGACUGUUCUUUUAUCCCUUUAAGCUAGGUGUAACGUUAAUGUUAUUUUAAAUGUCUUUUUGUUAGUAUGUUUCUUUCAGAAAUAAUUUUAGAAGGAGACCCCAAGGCCUAUGCUCCAGUGCCACCGGAGGAGCAGCAGGUGACUGAGUCUGGCCCGCUGGGAAAGGAGCGCACCCUGCCUACACUGUAGCACCAGGAAAUGUAGGAGGAGGAGCGGUAUUUUGUGGCUCAUAAGCCCCUGCCAGAAGACAGCUCUCCUGCUGAGGUGGAGGAGUUUUUGGAACAUGCCAAAUUCGUCACAGAGGACCUGGAGUGGCUGCACACAUUGCCUCAUGACAAGUUUUGGUGUCAGGAGGUGAGGGACUGUCAACUUGUGAAAAUGUUGCAGAGACGUUGUUUUUUCCUCUCUUUUCAUUCCUCUACAAUAGUCUACCAAAGCUGGAAAAAUGUAAAUACAUUGUAGAUCAGCAGCCAGGAGCCUGUUAUGGUCUUCCCUUUUCUGCUGUGGUCCAUCUUUUCCACCAGGUGGUGUUUGAUGAGUCCUUGCAGAGGUGACUAGACUUGUACCUGCAUCAUGCUCCUCACGGCCUUGACCUCGCCUCCCUGCCCCCCUCCUUUGCGGUGGCCAAAAUGCAGCGCUCUUCUGUCCACAGGACGCUCUUUUUGACCUUCCUCAGGAUGGCCACACAUAAAGAAUCAAAAGAGAACAUCUUUAACCAGCAGCCAUCCUACUACAGUGACUUGGAUGAGACGGUACCCAUUUACAGGCCUGCUGCAAGAACCACCCCGAGACACUGCAGAAGACAAAGUCGAAACCUGUAUAGCAGAUACCCUGAAAUAUGCCCCCCCACAGAGGGACUCAGAGUCACAGACAGCAGGAUGAAGUAGCUGCAGCUGGAGCUACAGAAAAAGCAGCCUUUUCAUCAUCACCUCUGACCCCUCAGCAGUGGCCUUCACUCAGGCCUCUAAUCCUCCAGGUCUGAUGGCUCCAGGAUGAGGAUAGCACACUGGUCACUAGACGCCCAGCCUGAUCUGAAACAAAAGGUUCUCUGCGAUCACAGCGAAUGGAUACGUCUAUAACUCUGUGCCAACAUGAGGAGAUCUGGAUCAGUGGACCUGGGGCCUGUACUACGAAGUGCGUUCCUGUGAAAGAGGCGGGGUUGUUCUUUUUUUUUUUUUUUUUUUUUUAGUGAGAUGAGACAAAACCGGUGAUACAAGACAGAGCAUAAUACAAUGACAUGACAGGAUUCAUGCAACAAGACAUAACAUGCAUUGAGGACAUUCAGCAGUAACAGAAGAAAAGAAAAAAUCAAAUGUUUAGUACUUAUAAUAUGGAACAUGUUUGUUAGGGAAAGAAAAAAAAUAAUGAUGAUGAUAAAAACAAGCGUUGUAGAUGUGUGUGUGUUGUGCUUCGUCUGUCAUUCAGGAAGUAAUGUAGUGAGGAUUGGCGCCCGUGCUUUCUGGAACUGAUGUAUUUUAUGGUUAAUAGAUGCGGUUAGUUUUUCCAUGGUUAUGUGUUUCCAUACAGAGAUAUUUAGAUUUUCUCUGCUUUUCCAGUUGAGGAGGAUGGUCUUCUUGGCGACAGUGAGAGCGAUGAGUACUGUUUUUAUACUGUGGUUGGGGAUUGUAGCUGAUGAUAAUUCGUCUAACAAGCACAGCGAUGGUGAGAGCGGAAACCAGGCAGUGCCAAAUUGCGUAGAUGUAGUCGUCUAAGGAGGGCAGAGUGAAUCUGAGAGGCCCAUUUGUGCAUUUUUUUGAGUGUGAUGUGCGAUCUAUGGUUGAUCUUGUACUGUAUGAGUAUGUAUCGUUGUCUAGUGAUACGGAUAGACCUUUCUCCCAUUUUGUGGUAGGGAGAGAUAUUGUCAGGCCAGUGUUGAGAAGUUUGUACAAUCUGGAGAGGGUUUUAUAAGGUGUUAGUAGUACUUGUUAUUAUUUCUUCUGCUGGUGCAGACGGUUGAAUGUUGCCUUGUUUUAAGUUGAUCUUAUGACUGAUUGGAGUUGUAGAUACUGAAAAAAGGAUUUGUGGUCUAUUCUGUACUUGUGAGUCAGUUCUUCGAAAGGAAUGAAAGUUGAGUUUUGGAUUAUGUUUUGAAGUUGUGUGAUAUCUUUGUCUUUCCAAGUGGUCAAAUUCAGUGUUUUGUUUUUUUUUUGUCUAGAAGGAAAUCCAGAUUUUUCCAUAUUGGUGUGUAUUUACAAGGUGUGUGUGUUAAGUGCUGUCAGAGUUGUAGCUGUAAUGUCAUUCUUAAAGCAGUUGUGGUGUUUUAUGGAGGUGCUGUUUCAAUGUCUAUCCAGGGAGAGCAUUGUUCUGUGGGAUGGAUCUAUUUGGUUAUAAUUUGUAAUUAAUUGGCCAGGAAGUAGUUGAAAAAGUGUUGUACAUCAAGACCUCCAAUAUUUUUUUGGUGUUUGAAAGUCAGUUUAAUUUUAAGUUUUUUGUUUUUCCAGCAAAAUUUUGUUAUUGUUGAAUCUAGAGAAUUGAACCAUGUGAGAGGUAGACGUACUGGGAUCACUGAGAAAAGGUAAUUUAUUUUGGGUAGUAUUGUCAUCUUGUUGAUUGAUAUUCUUCCAAUAAAUGAGACUGGUAGAUUCAUCCGUGUGUUCGUGUUAUCUUCUAUUGUUUUGAUAAGUGGGUUGAACUUUAAGUGUAAAAGCUCUGAGAGCGAGAGAGAGGCAGGGUUGUUAAUUACGAGUGACUUCAUCAGAACCAUGAAUGAAGUACUUCAUAUGAUAUGAGAUGAAACAAUGAUACCAAGUACCUGCAGAAAACUUCUGUUUUAGGGACAGCAAAAAGUCAUAUUCAACGAAAUGCAAUAUAAACGACAGCCUGUAAUCAUACAACAGAAUAAGAAGACGCGGAAACAAUUUCCACACAUUAAAAGUUGACUAAGGCUUAAAAUACAUGUAGUUAUUAUUGUAUAUGACUUAAGUAUAGAGUGAGUAUGUUUUGCUAUUUAGUUGCAAAGCCAUUCUGAAUAUGUCACAUAAAAAAACUUGAAAGUAAUGCCAGACUGUUUCUGCUGCCGAAGCAAAGAGUGGACAAGCAGAUAAUGACUGAUGUUGCAUUUAUAAUCAUGGGAGCUGGAUGUGUCUGGAUUUUCUAAUAAAAGACAAUCUUUUGUUUUUAUUUCCAGUUAUCAUCACAUAGUUGUCUCAUGUUAUUCUGAGCUGCUAGUGAUAGAAUCAGAGUGUAAAAUUAUCCACACUGGCAGCUGUCACUCUGGGGAUAUCAUAAACUUUGUACAAUUAAAAUGCAGCUAAAAUCCUCA
This is a long non-coding RNA of Thunnus maccoyii (southern bluefin tuna), 4916 nucleotides long. RefSeq lists it as uncharacterized. The transcript has 6 exons. The record is from RefSeq and is a predicted model, not a curated record. Lineage: Eukaryota; Metazoa; Chordata; Actinopteri; Scombriformes; Scombridae.